CCUACGGGAGGCAGCAGUGGGGAAUAUUGCACAAUGGGCGCAAGCCUGAUGCAGCCAUGCCGCGUGUGUGAAGAAGGCCUUCGGGUUGUAAAGCACUUUCAGCGGGGAGGAAGGCGUUAAGGUUAAUAACCUUGGCGAUUGACGUUACCCGCAGAAGAAGCACCGGCUAACUCCGUGCCAGCAGCCGCGGUAAUACGGAGGGUGCAAGCGUUAAUCGGAAUUACUGGGCGUAAGGCGCACGCAGGCGGUCUGUCAAGUCGGAUGUGAAAUCCCCGGGCUCAACCUGGGAACUGCAUUCGAAACUGGCAGGCUAGAGGCUUGUAGAGGGGGGUAGAAUUCCAGGUGUAGCGGUGAAAUGCGUAGAGAUCUGGAGGAAUACCGGUGGCGAAGGCGGCCCCCUGGACAAAGACUGACGCUCAGGUGCGAAAGCGUGGGGAGCAAACAGGAUUAGAUACCCGAGUAGUC
This 465-nucleotide ribosomal RNA is filed under the name uncultured Klebsiella sp. RNAcentral describes it as "bacterial SSU rRNA". It matches the Rfam family "Bacterial small subunit ribosomal RNA", at positions 338 to 795 of the family's 1533-position model. Lineage: Bacteria; Pseudomonadati; Pseudomonadota; Gammaproteobacteria; Enterobacterales; Enterobacteriaceae. The record is from RNAcentral.